GCUUUCGUGGUGUAAUGGUCAGCACACUCGGCGCGUAUUCGAGAGGUUCAGGUUCGAGUCCCGGCUAGGGCA
Stegodyphus mimosarum is the source of this 72-nucleotide non-coding RNA. The record is from Rfam. Lineage: Eukaryota; Metazoa; Arthropoda; Arachnida; Araneae; Eresidae.